GCCGGCCAGAAAUCCGACCGGACCGGGCUCGGGGGAGCGUGAGUUGCAGUUAAAAGAAGAUGGAUGCACAGUGUUCAGCCAAGGUCAAUGCAAGGAAGAGGAGAAAAGAGGCGCCCGGACCCAACGGGGCAACAGAAGAAGAUGGGGUUCCUUCCAAAGUGCAGCGCUGUGCAGUGGGCUUACGGCAACCAGCUCCUUUUUCUGAUGAAAUUGAAGUUGACUUUAGUAAGCCCUAUGUCAGGGUAACUAUGGAAGAAGCCAGCAGAGGAACUCCUUGUGAGCGACCUGUGAGAGUUUAUGCCGAUGGAAUAUUUGACUUAUUUCACUCUGGUCACGCCCGAGCUCUGAUGCAAGCGAAGAACCUUUUCCCUAAUACGUACCUCAUUGUGGGAGGUUCAACCACCUUUAGAAGACUUUCUUCCAGUUGGGGAAGAUGGUUGCAGUCCUAAGCAGUGGGAGAAGAUGGGAGAGGUCGGUGGCUGAGGAGGUGCUAAGCAAAGAGGACUCCAACACACAAUUUAUGAUGUGGUGAACCAGUUUGCAGUGAUGAGCUCACACACAACUUCAAAGGCUUCACGGUGAUGAACGA
Molecule: small RNA, 589 nt
Filed under: Pan troglodytes (chimpanzee)
Lineage: Eukaryota; Metazoa; Chordata; Mammalia; Primates; Hominidae
Description: processed transcript
Source: RNAcentral